RNAcentral lists this ribosomal RNA (394 nucleotides) under uncultured Lactobacillus sp. RNAcentral's name for it is "bacterial SSU rRNA". It matches the Rfam family "Bacterial small subunit ribosomal RNA", at positions 32 to 385 of the family's 1533-position model. Lineage: Bacteria; Bacillati; Bacillota; Bacilli; Lactobacillales; Lactobacillaceae. The record is from RNAcentral.
GACGAAACGCUGGCGGCGUGCCUAAUAACAAUGCAAGUCGAGCGAGCUUGCCUAGAUGAUUUUAGUGCUUGCACUAAAUGAAACUAGAUACAAGCGAGCGGCGGACGGGUGAGUAACACGUGGGGUAACCUGCCCAAGAGACUGGGAUAACACCUGGAAACAGAUGCUAAUACCGGAUAACAACACUAGACGCAUGUCUAGAAUUUGAAAGAUGUUUCUGCUAUCACUCUUGGAUGGACCUGCGGUGCAUUAGCUAGUUGGUAAGGUAACGGCUUACCAAGGCAAUGAUGCAUAGCCGAGUUGAGAGACUGAUCGGCCACAUUGGGACUGAGACACGGCCCAAACUCCUACGGGAAGCAGCAGUAGGGAAUCUUCCACAAUGGACGAAAGUCUG